UACGUAGGGGGCAAGCGUUGUCUGGAAUCAUUGGGCGUAAAGCGCGUGUAGGCGGCUCGAUAAGUCUGCUGUGAAAGUUCAGGGCUCAACCCUGAAAUGCCGGUGGAAACUGUCGAGCUAGAGUCCGGAAGAGGUGAGUGGAAUUCCUGGUGUAGCGGUGAAAUGCGCAGAUAUCAGGAGGAACACCAAUGGCGAAGGCAGCUCACUGGGACGGUACUGACGCUGAGACGCGAAAGCGUGGGGAGCGAACAGG
This 253-nucleotide ribosomal RNA is filed under the name uncultured bacterium. RNAcentral describes it as "partial 16S ribosomal RNA". It matches the Rfam family "Bacterial small subunit ribosomal RNA", at positions 524 to 776 of the family's 1533-position model. The record is from RNAcentral.